Molecule: ribosomal RNA, 404 nt
Filed under: uncultured Eurotium
Lineage: Eukaryota; Fungi; Ascomycota; Eurotiomycetes; Eurotiales; Aspergillaceae
Description: eukaryotic LSU rRNA
Rfam family: 5.8S ribosomal RNA (bases 50-203)
Source: RNAcentral
AACGCUGUGUGAAGUAUGCAGUAUGAGUUUUUAGUUAAACAAUCGUUAAAACUUUCAACAACGGAUCUCUUGGUUCCGGCAUCGAUGAAGAACGCAGCGAAAUGCGAUAAUUAAUGUGAAUUGCAGAAUUCAGUGAAUCAUCGAGUCUUUGAACGCACAUUGCGCCCCCUGGUAUUCCGGGGGGCAUGCCUGUCCGAGCGUCAUUGCUGCCCUCAAGCACGGCUUGUGUGUUGGGCUUCCGUCCCUGGCAACGGGGACGGGCCCAAAAGGCAGUGGCGGCACCAUGUCUGGUCCUCGAGCGUAUGGCGGCUUUGUCACCCGCUCCCGUAGGUCCUAGCUGGCAGCUAGCCUCGCAACCAAUCUUUUUAACCAGGUUGACCUCGGAUCAGGUAGGAGCCCCGGCC